RNAcentral lists this ribosomal RNA (899 nucleotides) under Prevotella sp. HGBC15. Its description in RNAcentral is "bacterial SSU rRNA". It matches the Rfam family "Bacterial small subunit ribosomal RNA", at positions 60 to 950 of the family's 1533-position model. The record is from RNAcentral. Lineage: Bacteria; Pseudomonadati; Bacteroidota; Bacteroidia; Bacteroidales; Prevotellaceae.
AGUCGAGGGGCGCAUGCCGGUUGCUUGCAACCGGUGAUGGCGACCGGCGCACGGGUGAGUAACGCGUAUCCAACCUUCCCGCGACCAAGGGAUAACCUGCCGAAAGGCAGACUAAUACCUUAUGUCCUCCUUUGAAGGCAUCUGACGAGGAGCAAAGAUCCGUCGGUCACGGAUGGGGAUGCGUCCGAUUAGCUUGUUGGCGGGGCAACGGCCCACCAAGGCUUCGAUCGGUAGGGGUUCUGAGAGGAAGGCCCCCCACACUGGAACUGAGACACGGUCCAGACUCCUACGGGAGGCAGCAGUGAGGAAUAUUGGUCAAUGGGCGGAAGCCUGAACCAGCCAAGUAGCGUGCAGGACGACGGCCCUACGGGUUGUAAACUGCUUUUAUGCGGGGAUAAAGUUGCCCACGCGUGGGUUUUUGCAGGUACCGCAUGAAUAAGGACCGGCUAAUUCCGUGCCAGCAGCCGCGGUAAUACGGAAGGUCCGGGCGUUAUCCGGAUUUAUUGGGUUUAAAGGGAGCGCAGGCCGCCGUGCAAGCGUGCCGUGAAAAGCAGCGGCCCAACCGCUGCCCUGCGGCGCGAACUGCCUGGCUUGAGUGCGCCGGAAGCGGGCGGAAUUCGUGGUGUAGCGGUGAAAUGCUUAGAUAUCACGAAGAACCCCGAUUGCGAAGGCAGCCCGCUGUGGCGCCACUGACGCUGAGGCUCGAAGGUGCGGGUAUCGAACAGGAUUAGAUACCCUGGUAGUCCGCACGGUAAACGAUGGAUACCCGCUGUCCGGCCCGUACGGUCUGGGCGGCCAAGCGAAAGCGUUAAGUAUCCCACCUGGGGAGUACGCCGGCAACGGUGAAACUCAAAGGAAUUGACGGGGGCCCGCACAAGCGGAGGAACAUGUGGUUUAUU